This 497-nucleotide ribosomal RNA is filed under the name uncultured bacterium. Its description in RNAcentral is "partial 16S ribosomal RNA". It matches the Rfam family "Bacterial small subunit ribosomal RNA", at positions 28 to 507 of the family's 1533-position model. The record is from RNAcentral.
GAUGAACGCUGGCGGCGUGCCUAAUACAUGCCAGUCGAGCGAACAGACGAGGAGCUUGCUCCUCUGACGUUAGCGGCGGACGGGUGAGUAACACGUGGAUAACCUACCUAUAAGACUGAGAUAACUUCGGGAAACCGGAGCUAAUACCGGAUAAUAUAUUGAACCGCAUGGUUCAAUAGUGAAAGACGGUUUUGCUGUCACUUAUAGAUGGAUCCGCGCCGGAUUAGCUAGUUGGUAAGGUAACGGCUUACCAAGGCAACGAUGCGUAGCCGACCUGAGAGGGAGAUGGGCCCCACUGGAACUGAGACACGGUCAAGACUCCUACGGGAGGCAGCAGUAGGGAAUCUUCCGCAAUGGGGGAAAGCCUGACGGAGCAACGCCGCGUGAAUGAUGAAGGUCUUCGGAUCGUAAAAAUCUGUUAUUAGGGAAGAACAAAUGUGUAAGUAACUAUGCACGUAUUGACGGUACCUGCUCAAAAAGCCACGGCUAACUACGUG